This is a long non-coding RNA of Marmota monax (woodchuck), 19740 nucleotides long. RefSeq lists it as uncharacterized. Lineage: Eukaryota; Metazoa; Chordata; Mammalia; Rodentia; Sciuridae. The record is from RefSeq and is a predicted model, not a curated record. The transcript has 2 exons.
UUAACAUUUUCUCCUACAUAACCCCAGCCAGUUUGUCUAUGACAAAAUUACUUUAUUGAAACGCUCAGGCAUGCACAAAUGGAAUGUACUGUUUUUCUAACUGCUAAAUUUUUGAACCAGUGGAAAAAUACUUGUAUUCAAGUCACUAACUAUACUACAAUGCAUCUCAACACUGCAAUCACAGACAGUAUGUAAAAUCAUAUUUGUGAAUAAUAAACUCAAUUCAGUUAUUUUAUGGGAAACAUAUGAAAUUUCAAAUAUGUAAAGAAAUAAGAAUAGUUUAAGCACAUAAAGUAGAAAAGUAAGUAUUGUGUAAAAAUUAUUCUCCAUUUACUCAGAUUUUUAUUUUAUGAUCUAUAGAUAAUCUAAACACUAUGGAAUCUAAUGUAUAGGAGAGACCACACCUAAGUAGAUAGAGCUCUGCACUUAAUAACAACAGAAAUCAAGGAAAGCAGAAGAUUUCAAUUCUCUAAAACCAUUAUGAAUAUUAGAAUGAAAGAAACAAUAUUUCUUGUACUAACAAUGGCACUGAGGAAGGUGGAAAAAAAAAUCAAACCACUUUCUCAAUAUUUCAUCAUUUACUCAAGAGUAUUUGGCAUGAGGAAGGAAAGUCUCAAAGCAAUGAAAUUUCUAACUGUGCAAUCACAUGCUCUAGAGCAGAAAUCUUUUAGAACACAUAUGUCCAUUUGUGGGCCAAUGGUAACCUGUUAUCUAUCAAGCACAAGCACAAAUGCUAUGACUGUGGCACCUGGCACAUAAAAUAAACUCAAUCAGUCCAUGGAACAAAUAAAUGAACGAAUGAGUGAAUGGCAGCAUAAAACAGAAGAGAGAACAAAAACAUUUCUUACCAUGACUAUUUCUUGAUGAUCCUCCUUGUUAUCACCAGCAAGUCCCUACAGGCUCUUGCCUGAUUAUACUCAGAAACACCCAGGCACACAGUUCCAGUUGGGAAUGCGAGGCAAGCACUUUGCGGUUUUGCCAUUGAGCUGCUUCCCAGCCCAUUCAUUCAUUGUCAGCGUGGGAAUUUGGGGCUGCUUCUAUGAAUGAAUCUACUAUGAAUAUUAAAAAGAGACUGACCAAUGGCGUUAGUUGUUCAGACGUAGAGAAGCAGCGGAGGCCAUCGAGGUUGGUGUCCUGGAUUUCGCCGGACUUUCGCCGGACUUUCGCCGGACUUUCGCCGGACUUUUUCGCCGGACCUUCGCCGGACCUUCGCCGGACCUUCGCCGGACCUUCGCGGGACCUUCGCCGGACCUUCGCGGGACCUUCGCGGGACCUUCGCCGGACCUUCGCCGGACUUUCGCCGGAGUUCCAUGGAAGUUUCACCCUGGUUUGGUUCCCAGAGGUGAUUCUUCGACUUCCAAGAGACUGCUGAAAGAAAGAAGACAUGGUUGAGGAUCUGCUGGGGUCUGCUGCAGCGCUGGAUGGAAUGGCCCGCCAUAAGGAGGUAGGUAGGACUCCUCUCUGCUGCGGAGGCCUCCCCACCCCGCACGCAGACCCCCUACCUGCCAGCUAGAGCCAUGGAGUCUCAUCUUCAAACUCUGGUUUCGAGGUAUUGUUAUACGUUAGGUAAUUAGCGUCUAAAUAUUGAAAUUUGUUAAUUUUAAUUUCUACUAGUGAAAAUUAUGAGACUCAUAAAUAAUAGAAAAAUAUUUCCCACAGUUCUGGAGGUCAUAAGCGGGAAAAGUCUGUCCCAAUAGUUAUGUCAUCAUUUCACAGAAUAAUGGUGGAGACUAACUUACUCUUAAAAGCCUUUUUUCUUUCCAUUCAUUUGAAGUUGAUUUCAGUGCUAUCAAAAUGUUUAAGGGAACCUAGGAAAUGUUUCAUUUUGUUAAUUUUCAUUUAUUGGUUGUUUUUAUUAUAGAAUCCAUUUUUAAAAAAUUAUUUAAGUUGUUAAUGGUCCAUUUAUUUUAUUUUAUUUUUUAAUUCAGUACUGAGAAUUAAACCCAGUGCCUCACACAUGCCUAGGCAAGUGCCCUACCACUGAGCCACAAUCCUGGCCCAUAAAAUUCAAUAUUAUAUAAUCAAUAUUUGUAUAAGUAAGAUACCUUAUAUAUUUAGAAUUAUAUUCUUAGGAUGUACAUGGUGGUGGGAUUCACAGUGUUGUUUCCACGUAUACACAUGGGAAAGCUGCAUUAGAGUCUUUCCACUGUCUUUCCUUUGCUUAUGCCCCUCCUUUCCCUCCAUUCCCCAUUGUCUAAUCUACUGCACUUCUGUCCCCAUCACCCCUCCUAUUGUGGGUUAGCUCCCACAUAUCAGAGAAAACAUUUGUCCUUUGUUUUUUGAAGACUGGUUUAGCUUCAGUUACCAUGAGUGUCUCCAGGUGGCAGAUAUUGUAGUCAUAUUUUUUUCUGCAAAUUGGUAUGUUUUCUUUAAUCUUCUUUUUAAAAAAAAUGUUCUAAUUCUACAGGACAAUAGGAUGCACUUUGACAUAGCGUACAUAAAUGUAGUAUGAUUUCUCAUGCUUCUGGUUGUACAGGAUGUAGCAUCACACUAGUCACGUAUUUGCAUAUGUACUUUGGAAUAAAUGUCUGAUUCAUUCUACUAUCCACUCUACCCAGUGUACCCCUUUCCCUCUCUUCACUUCUCUGUGCAGUCUAAAACAACUCUAUUCUUCCCUACCCCCCCCCCCCCCCUUACUGUGAUUAUCAUAAGCAUAUCAGGGAAAAUUUUCUGGGAUUGGCUUAUCACUUAGCAUGAUAAGCUCCAUCCAUUUACCAGCAAAUGUCAUAAUUUAAUUCUUCUUUAAGGCUGAGUUUAUUCCAUCCUAUAUAUGUGUGUAAAAUUGUUUAUGUGUGUGUAUGUGUGUUUGCAUUGUGUGUGUGUGUGUGUGUGUAUAUAUAUAUAUAUGUAUAUAUUACAUAUAAUAUAUAUAUAUUAUAUAUAUUAUAUAUAUGUAUAUAUACACACACACACACAUACACACAUAUGUAUAUCUAUACUCAUACACACCACAUUUUCUUUAUUCAUUUAUCUGUUGAAAGACACCUAGGUUAGUUCCACAGUUUAUCUAUUAUGAAUUGAGCUGCUGUAAACAUAAUGUGACUGUGUCAUUGUAAUAUGCUGGUUUUAAGUCGUUUGGUUAUAAAAUGAGGAAAGGGAGAGCUGUGUCAGAUGUUGGUUCCAGUCCACGUUUUCUGAGGAAUUUCCAUACUGCUUUCCAUAAUGGUUGCCUCAAUUUGCAGUCACACAAGCAAUGUGUGCGUGCACCCUUUUCCCCACAUCCUCCCUAACAUUUAUUGUUACUUGAUGAUUGUAUUCUUGAUAACCAUGUUUGUCGACUGGGGUGGGAUAAAAUCUUGGAGAAGUUUUGAUUUGCUUUCUACUAAUGGCUAAAUAUUGAACAUUUUUCAUGUAUUUGUUGCUUCUUCUGUGAAGUGUCUGUUAGUUCCUUAGCCCAUUUAUUGAUUUGGUUAUUUGUUUUUUUUGGUGUCAUGUUUUUUGAGAUCUGCAUAUAUCCUGGAGAAUAAUGCUCUGAGGUGCAUGUGGUGAAGAUUUUCUCCUAUUCUGUAGGCUCUGUUUUCACAUUAUUGAUUGUUUCCUUUGCUGAGAAGAAGCUUUUUAAUUUGAAUCUAUCCUGUUUAUUGAUUCUUGAAAUUCUUGGAAUGUAGGAGUCACCUUAAGGAAGUCAGAUCUUAGGAUGACAUAGUGAAGAUUUAGGCCUACUUUUUCUUCUAUUUGGCUCAGGAUCUCUGUUCUAGUGCCUAAGUUUUGAUCUAUAUUCAAUUGAGUUUUGUGCAGAGUGAGAGAGAGGGCUUUACUUUUUAUUUUAUGUGGCUUUCCAAUUUUUCCUGCACCAUUUACCAUUUGUUGAACAGGCUUUUUUUUUUUUUUUUCUUAAAUGUAUGUUUUUGGCGCCUUGGUCUAGUUUGAGAUAACUGUGUUUUUGUGAGUUUUCUCUGUCUUCUAUUCUGUACCAUUCAUUGGUCUCUGUGUUAUUUUGAUGACAAUACAAUGCUGUUUUUGUUACGAUGUCUCUGUAGUACAGUUUAAGCUAUAGUAUUAUGAUAUGUCUUCUCUCUUCUUGCUUAGUAUUGCUUUGGCUAUUCUGCAUCUCUUAUUUUUCCACACGAAGUUCAUGGUUGCUUUUUCUAGUUCUGUGAAGAAUUGUUUUAGGGAUUUUGGAAUUGAAUUAAAAUUUAUGAUCAAGCACAAAUUAGUUAAAACUGUGAAAAAGAAUCCCAGCUCACCAUAGACCUGACAGUUGUCUGGUCACUGGUGUCGGUUGAUCCAGCCACUGUCUCCUGCACACUUGAUGGUUGCUAAGCUGAGGUUACUUGUUGCAUUUUGGUGUUAAGGGUGUCUUAGAGUUGAGUCUACUCUGCAUGUUGGUACUGAGGUCGUGGUUCAGCCAAGCUUUGCCAAUGCACAGCCUGGGAUACUUUUCUGGGUUUUUUAAACUUUUAAUUGUGUCUGAAAAUUUCUUUGGGUCCUUUAAUCACUUUGCUUGAUCAACGUCUGUGUGCUAGGCACUAUACUAGGUGUGGAGUACAGAGUGAAUAGGCCAAGUCCUUGCUUCCAUGGAACUUAAUGAAGUUAGUAGGAUAAUCAUAGCAUCUACCUCAAGGUUAUGAGUUAUGUAGGCAUUUUGAGGUCUCAAAUAAUUUUCCAUCCAAGUUCUACCUUUCCUCAAUUUUUAAUCAGAACUUGCCUUUUGACAAAAAGUUAAAAAUCUCUCUUAAGAUUCAUAAGAUACAUAAUUUAUAUCUUUUAGGCUUCAAAUCUAAUAUCAUUCAUUUUCCAAAAGAGCAAUAUUGGGUCAAAAUUGUAUUUAACCUUAAAGUAGACUUGCAACAUGGUAUAUAAAAACCUAGAAAUAAAAAAUGAUAUUGAAUAAAAUUUUAAAAUGUAAGUGGUCAGCUUUUAUUUCCAUGCACACGUGCAAAUUUUGAUAUGGCCAUUUUCAGUAAUUAAAUAGGCAGCCAAGUUAAACAUCAUGAAUAUGAAUGGCAAUGUAUUUGUGUAAGAGUAUGUGUCUGAAUUGUAGAUGAACCACCAGUCUUGUGUGUGUUUAUUGUGGAAUUUCAGAUAAGAAUAGAGAAGGAAAGGAUGGGUGGCAGAAUUCUGGGAAAAAAGGCAUUGAACCAUCAUUGGACUAUACACUUGAGAUUCUCUUGACUUCUCACCAGUGCCAUUGACUUUGGAGUAAGAGUUCCACUAAUUGGAGCUCAUUUUUGAAAAAUUGGCCAUUCAGGUAUUAAUAAGAGGCUACUCUUUAAAUAAAAUCAAAGGGGUGUGCCUUUGAAUGGAGUCAUUAUUUAUGUGCAAUCCUUGGGCCCAGUCUGCCUUUUUGGGAUAACCAUUAGAUUGAUAUAAUAUGAUGUGUUCCUGAACCCAGAGGUGAAAUUCCUGUCCAGGCCCCUAUUGAUAACACUAAUAAAGUCCAGUGACAUUAAGGUGAAAAUUCCAAAAAAUCUCAAACAAACCUAUGCUUUAUCAUUUAUUCUGUUUGGGACUCAAAAAUUAAUAAUAAUGGCACUGUCAAUAGAAAAUCUUAAAUAUAUUCAAGUCUCUGCAAAGCUGACCACCUCAAGUAGUACUUAUUCCCAAAACUCUGUGUUCCAUUUUCUUGGCUUGAUUGUUUUCAUAGUCGAGUUUACAUAUGGAAACUUCUAAUGUGCUAAUUUGUUCAUUUUGCUUACUGCCUGUUGUUUUUCCUCUAGAAUGUAAGUCCCAAAUGAAUAGGAACUGCACUGGUGUUUUUUUUUUUUUUUUUUUUUUCUUUGUCUUUCUAGUGUCUGGGAGGACAAUGCAGAGCAAAGAGCAGUUCCUCAUAAAUAUUUGUUAAAUGAACACAAGAAGAAGUGAAUUUUAUUUAUUUAUUUAAGAUAAAUUUAUGUUUCUCUGUCCCAUCAAACUUUAAUGAGUUAUUUGGUCACUGACUUUAAACAUUAUCAGAAAGUUCAGUUUUCUUGAGUCUUCAAAAUAUUUUUUAACAAUUCAAGCAUAAAACAUAAAAUGCAUGAUUAAUGACUCUCUCUUAAUAGAUGAAAUAAGAGAUUCUUUGACUUAUUUAUGAACAAAUGAACAAAUUGGAACAAAUAAGAGCUUUAAAGUUAAUUACUGAGAUAACUGACAAAGGGUCAUUUUACAAGCUCUAGCCUGAAGCUGGGUCUAACUGCCAUCUCUGUACAGUUCAUCCUCCUGCAGUGUAACAGACAAUCUGCCUGUCAUCACAGAGUAGGUGGCCAGGCAGGACUGUGGGUGUGGAUAUGGGGACUAUGUCAGUUGUUAACCAGGGCCCACACUGCAGUUACCAGGAGCUAGUUGGUAUUAAGUUGCAAUUCCACUGGACAGGAACCAGAGAGUUUAUUUCACCCUGAAAGCAAAAGCCAUCUCCUUUCUACACAGACAAAUCCCCUUAGGGUAGGUGGGAUUUGUUCUGUUAAUUCAUCUACCAUGUAAAAAACAAUGGGCUUGAUGCUGGAGAUAGUGUUCAACAAGACAGACAGAGGCCCUGCAGCCAUGGACAGGACUUUCUCGAUCAUAAUUUUCAAUGUGUUUAUUCUGUUUAUAAAUCCUUGUCAGGAGAAUUAAAAUACCCAUUUCUGCUUCUUUUAGGUCCUAUGGUCUUUUAAAUUUCCAAAAAGUCUUAAUUUUUAUAUUCUGUUAAAUAUUAAUAUUGAGUGGAACAGCAGAAUAGAAAAUAUACUCAAGUGGAUAGAAGAGGGCUUUUUCAUGCGUCUUUACCAUCAAUUAGCUAGUUCACCUUUCACUCACUGAAGUUCAUCCCUGGUUGAACCUUAGAACCAUACAGAGAACAUAAAAAAAUAAAGCUUUAAAAACCAAAAAUUAAAACAACCUCUCACACACAGUGUUCAGAUCCAUCCAACCUCUGAUCAAUAAGAGAAUCUCCAAAAGUAAGGGCCUGGACUUCUAUGUAAGCAAAUCCAUUUGUGCUUUCUAAAUUAUAAGAUUUGGCCAAAUUCCCCUCUAAGCUGAUUUCCCUUUUUUAAAAUUAACUGAUUUUGUCUGAAUUUACAGCCAAGCCAUUGAGCAUAUUGUCAGGAAGUUUAGAAAACUGUAGCAUAGAAUUUUGAUGAAGGGGCACCAUUAAGUGAGCAUAUUCACUUGACUUUUUUCCUUAAUAUUUCUUUUUACUUCCUACUUCUCCUCUUCUCAAGAGCAUCUUUUUCUUUCAAGGACUGUGAGUUGAGACUAUGCAGGAAAAUCUGAAAGACUCACAAACAUCAAGUUGAUAGGUUUCCAUCUCCUGAAAAGCUAUCUACUGGAAGCUGAAACUUCAUGACAGUGGGGAAAGCUCAUGAAAUUCACCAGCCUCUGCUCACAACACUGUGGCUUUUCUUGUUAAAAAAAAUUUUAAAAGAAAAAAAGUUAUUCUCGAUGUUCCUAUCAUGCAGCUUGAAAUUUAAUUCUGAAUUCAACAUUCCUAGUUCUAAGAGGUACACUAGAAAGCAAGAGUGACUGCAUAGAUCAGGUUAACUCUUCAGUUGAAGUGACCAGGGGGUGCAGGGGAUACCCCAUAAAAUGCCUAAGGAGUGCAGCUUUCCUGUCAUCCAAGGCUUCCUAUCUGGGAGUUCUGCAUGUUUUCUGCCUCUACUUUAGGGCUUGCAUGUAAAAACUGGAGAGGUCUCUGAAGACUUCUGUUUAUCCUGAGACUUGGUUCACAUGAGAGAAUGUCCUGGAAAUUCUUGUCUGUCAGCUCAGAGGAGGCAGAAGUAACCCACAUGCAUAAAAUAGGUGCUUCAUAAUUACCUCAGUACUUUAAUCUCUUUGUGGGCCAUGGGACUCCUAAUUAGGGUCCCUUCUCCCCUUUCCUUCAGAGCCAACCCCCGACUCCCAGAAACACAUGCACAGGCCUCUCAUAUUUCAGUCCUGCCUAUAAUUCCAUUUUGUGAGAGGCAUUAUUUCACAUUAUUUUCUUCUGGAUACUAGAAAACUCUGCCCUCUGGUUUUUAGGCAUUAGCUUCGUUCCAGGGCCUCCCAGAACAUAUGGUUGACAAUUUCAGUUCUCUCUGAGUAAUUUAUUUUUAAAUAUUCAAAAUCAAGAAGAGGAAAAAAUAGCUAAAGGAACUCAACAGAGUUUUGGUUUGACAGUAAUUGGAAACCAGUGAUUGGAAGCACUUGGUACACUAUGUUCCACAAAGGGCUUUUUCAAUUUUAUUUAUUUAUUUUUGGCUGCUUGCUGAGAUCUUCACUCUUUCAGUGCUGCUUAAGAAAACACAAGUGUCAAAAUGGUGCUGAAGUAUUUUCCUAACUGAAGGAAGAAGUUUGGAAAAAACAAGAGGUCCACGUUUAGUUAACCUAAAUUUCAAAUUUUAGGAAAGAAUCCUCUCCUUGGUUAAUCUAGGGUCUGCUAUUUAUUUUCCCUGACAAUAGAAGAUGACUGUGGAGGUAAUUUAAUUUAUAAGCAUGGCUCAAAGAAUUUUCUGGUUUAUCCUUGUUGUAUGUAUUGGUUAACAUCUCUUAUCUGGAGUCUUAUAAGAAUCCUGGUAGGAUCUUGCUGGAUUUAAUUGAGUUUAAUGAAGGAACUGUUUAUAGACACAUGAGCAGCCCAAAAGCAACCAGACAACAGCUGGGUCAAAGGACCCAUCAGAGAAAGCUAUUAGUGGAAAAUGAAGGCAAGAGCUAGGGAAGAAGUUUUGCCCAAUAGAAGCCACAAUCCUAGGUAGAAAGACAACCAAGGUCAAAAGCACUGUCUACCAGCAAGCUAGUGGGGGGAGUAAGUGGUCCAACCCCCUUUCUGCUCUUUCCCCUUCCUCUGUCCUGCCCUGGAUCACAGGGGCUGACUGCUAUAAGUACCUGAGUUCUCUGGCUUCCCAACUGGUUGGGUCAUUUAGAUUCACUGGUGGGAGAUGGGAGGGAAGGGGGAAGGGAGAAGCCUUAGAGUUUUCCUCUCCCUGUCUCCUUCCCAGCUCCAAUGCCUACUGGACAGGUCCAUCCCAAUUUCAGCUAAUGCCUGGUGACCUGGUCCCUGGGCUCCAGCAUGGUAUCCUUUUCAACUUAGGAAUGGAAGAGGGAGCAUGUUCUUUCUGUUGUUAAUCUCUGGCUUGGUUCUCUGUCCUACCUUUAUUCAUAGUUGGUCUUCACCUUUGAAACUCAUCCAUAGCUUUCAUUUCCCUAUUUAAAAAAACAAACAAACAAACAAAAAAACUAAACAUGGCUUAUGUUUUUGUGCUUGAUCUUGAGAAAUGCUUUAUAUUUUUAAUUGUUACUUCGAAUGGUAUUGUAAUUUUUAUUAUAUUAUCGAGAAUCUAUACUUGUUGUCUGUUUGGUUAUUGAUAGUACAGACUUUAUAUCUGCCAAUCUGGCUGUACUGUUUAAUUUAGAUGCUUUAGUAAUUUAAAUAUUAAUCUUUUGUGUUUUAAAUAUUUCUUUUUCUUUGCAUACACCGUUGGAAAAGACCCUCAGGUCCCAUGUUCAAUGGUAGUGAUGAUAGCACACAUUUUUUUUUAAAUCAUAAUUUUAAUUAAAGUGUAUUUUGGAGAUUUUUCCACUUUGCUGUAAUGUUUGUUACCGUUUUGUAGAUACGUGAAUGUUCACAAAUUUAGGAAGUGUCUCCAUUUUUAGUUUUCUGAGAGCUUUUAAUAAAAAGUUAAUGUUGAAACUUCACCAUUGCUUUUUCAGGACCUAUUGAAAUAAUUACAAUAUGUUUCCUCAUUUAAUUCCUUAGUAUGGUAUGUUGUAUAGAUAGAUUUCCCAAUGUCAAAACUUUCCUGCAUUUACUAGGAAAAAUCCAGCUUACUUAUGAUGUUUUUCCUUUAUAACUCUUUUAAUUAUAUUAGCUGGGAGGUUUUUGAUCUGUCAUCUCUUUAAGUAACUUUGGAUUCAAUCCAUGUUCACAAAUGCAAAAGGGUAUUUAAUUAUCUUUUGUCUAUGUUCCAUCUUAUUAAGGUGUUCAAAGCUCUAGCUUUUGGUUUUGUUAAUCUUUCUAUUGUUUCUGUGUGUUCUAGUUCUUUAAUUACUUCAUUUAUCUUUAUUUUUGUCCCCAUUCUAGUUUAUUUGAAUUUGUUCUAUUGCUCUUUUGCAUUCUCUUUCAUUGUUCAUUUUUUUUUUCAUUAUUUUUAUUAAGUUUCCUACUGCAUAUCAUUUUACCUGUGGCCUAAACUUUUUUUUCCUAUUUUUCACCCCUUAGCGUUUUUAGAUCUUUCUUAUGAUUUUUCCCCUUUGUGGAUGGGUUAUUUACUAUUAAGUCAUUUAUUUCCUAUAUGUGAAGCUUCUAGGUUUAUUAUUUUGUUAUUGAUUUAUAAUUUAUUUCCUAAUGGACAGAUUAUGCUAGAUAUCAAUAUUUAGUAUUGAUACUAGAGUAUAAAGUAUCUACUUUUGAAAUUGAUUUAGCUUUGCAUGGUGGAACUCUAAAUAAUUCUUUGUGAAUGUUCUCCAUUCCAAGAAAUAAAUACUUGUUUGGUAUCAAAUUCCAUGUAGAUCUAUAUGUUAGUUUUGAUAUUUUUAGUAUUAGUUAUGCUAUGUUUAGUGUUUUCUAUUUUUGCUAUUCUUACUUUAUUUGACUCUGAGAGGGAUGUGUUUAAAUCUUCAAUUCUAAUUAUCAGUAUAUUCAUUUUUCAUUUUAUUUCUCUCAGUUGUUGAUUUGUAACCUUUAAGUCUAUUGUCUAAGGGGUACAUAUGUUCAUGACUUUCCUAUCUUUCGGUAUGCUUUUCAUUUUUCCAGUGUAUAGUGUGGCUCUGUAUCUUUUAUGCCUUGAGUUCUGUUUUGUGUGAUAUUAACAUACUCAGGUUUAUGUUUGAUUCAUUUUCUGGGUUAUUAAUCUUGUUGUCAAAAAGGGACUCACUUGUAUUUAUUUAAAAAUUUUUGAAAAUUUGCUUUUAGAUGUAAAUGGUAUGAAAUAGGGAUCCAAUUUUAUUUACUUACUUUCUUUAUGGAGUCAACCAUCACAAUUUCCCCCCACUGACCUGAAAUGUCAGCUAUUAUAUAACAAGUUUCCAUAUACAUGUGGGUACUGGUUCUGGGAUCCCAACCCCGGCCCAUUUAUCUAUCUCUGCACCAAAAUAUCCAAGUCUUUCUUGCUCAUUUUAUAAUCACUUUUACUAUCAGGUAGAAAAAAUUCUACCAAAUGUUCUUUGGAAAUAUAUUAGUUCUUUACUCUAACUUACAAGUAUUAGAAAAUUUGUCAAAAUAUAGAAAACCUUGUUCUUUUUUUUUUUAAAUGUAUAGAACAAACAUCUUGAUACUUUGAGGUCUUUUAUUCACAAACAUGUCCAUUCUCAUUACUUAUAUGUGUGUGAUAUAUAUAUAAAUUUUUUUUUUAAAUUUAUUUAUUCUGAUUUGUUACACAUGAUGGCAGAAUGCAAUUCAUUUCAUAUUAUACAUAUAGAACAAAAUUUUUCAAGAAACUGAUUGUACACAGAAUAUUUUCACACCAUUCAUGUCUUGUACAUGUUCUUAGGGUAAUGAUGUCUAACUCAUUCCACCAUCAUUCCUACCCCCUUAUCCCCUCCCUCCUCCUCCCUCUCCUUUGCCCUAUCUAAAGUUCCUCCAUUCCUCCCAUGCUCGUCCACAUGGCCAUUAUGUGUCUGUGUCCUCAUAUCAAAGAAAACAUUUGGCCUUUGUUUUUGUUUUGGGAUUGGCUUGCUUUACUUAGCAUUAUUGUAUUCUCCAACUCAUCCAUUUACCUGCAAAAUCCAUGGUUUUAUUCUCUUUUAAUGCUGAGUAAUGUUCCAUUGUCUAUAUAUACCAAAGUUUCCCUAUCCAUUCAUCUACUGAACAGUAUGUGGGUUGGUUCCAUAAUUUAGCUACCCAUUCUCCUUAUUUACUCUGGUACUCUUUAAUGUUAUUCAUUAAAUUUUCAGGAUUCUCAACACAAUGGUGCUUUAUUUAGAGAACUGGAUGAAGCCUGUUCCUACCAUCCCUUUCAGGUUUUCUGUAGGGAUGAAAUGAUAGACACAUGGCAAAGGGCAACCUCCAUAUAAGAUGCUCCAGGCCUUUACUGUUACAGUUGGUUGUUUCUAGGGACUAGAGGCAAAAGCCAUGCUAUAAUUUGGAUAUGUGUAUCCCACAAAGGUUCAUGUGCUGGAUGUGUGGGGCCAAGUAGGGAGUUGAGGUGGUGGAAGCUUUCAAUGGUGGGCCGAGUAGAAAGUAAGAACAGUCCCCUCACAAAUGGAUUCAUGCUUGCUCUUAAGAGUUAUGUCUUGUGAGACUGAACUAGUUCCUACUAGAAUGGGUCAUUCUGAAGCAAGUUCAGCUUUCUUUACUCACUCUCAUGCUUCUUCUUCCAUCAUGUAAUGUUAUCUUCCAUGAGGCCCUCAUUAGAAACAUGUUCUUAGACCUCUAAAUCUGUGAGCAAAGCAAACCUCUUUCUUUUCUGAGGUAUCUAACCUCAGUCAUCUUGUUAUAGCAACAGAAAAUAGAAUAAGACAGGAACCUCAUCAAGCUCAGCACAACUCUCUACUACUUGUAAUAGCUCUGAUCCCCAUCUUACUAUAUCUUGGCAUUUAUUGUUGCAAUAUGAUUAUAAAAGUGCUUCAGGAACAUCCCUUUGAAAAUCCAGAAAUGCAGAAUUGUGCAGAGUAUGUCAUCCAUUUUUCUUAUUGUCCCAGGUCCUGUAGGGAGAAUGGACAAAGGAUAGAGUGUCCACCUCUAUUUUCCCAUUCUUUUGAACAGGAGGGAAGCUAUGCCACAGGGCACAAAGCACCAGUGGAUCACCAUCUGGUUUUUCUCCAUGUAGUUUCAUCAGCCUUAUAGUUAGAAGCUCUUUCCAAAUGCUGGCCUUAGAUAAAUUGUAUUAAUUUUCAGCAUUGUUCUAAGCUUUUCUAAAUCUCUGGACUUCAAAAGUAUUUUCAUUGGAAGGCAGAGAGGCUAGCUCAACACCCUUUAAAAUGGAAACGCCCAACUUUACCAGUUUUCACAUGAAAUAAAUUUAUGUGCUUUGGCCACAUACACAAACACAACACCCACCAAAUAUUGGGUGUUGAAAUUGGAGUUUUCAUGCAUGUUUAAAUAAGGUCCAUAUUUUCAACCAUGACUAUUCUUUCCUUUUUAUGGGCAUGUCAUCAAUACCAUGAAAACCCUAGAGGCAAAAUAAGUGAAGAGAUGCAUGCCAGAAUCACAUGUGAUGUUGAAAUGAGGUCAGCUGUCUAUAAUAGUCUAGCUAAAUGCUUUCCCAAGUGUAGAACAUUUUGUUUUGAUGAACAACUGUUGUUUGUAAUUAAUUAUAUAUAAUAUAUUAUGGUAAUCUAAUGUCAAAUUAAUAUUUCCAUUGUUUUCCAGUACUGGUAACAAUUCAUCAAAAUACGAUUUUUUUAUAUAUAUAUUCUGAAGAUCCAACCAAGUUCUAGAUUGAAAAAAAGAAAUUCACCCUCUUCAGGGUCAAAACUUGUCUUUAUAAACUCUUGCAUCUGAAUCUUGCCUUGUUAUAACCACAUACCUGCAUUUUAAGAACACAGACAUAGGCAUUUACUGAAAUUCUAGUGAACGUUUAAAACUUUGUAAACCUCAUCUUUCUAAUACAAAAAAAUUAAAUUAUAAGAAUACUUUUUUAUAGCAUUCUUCUAACAUUAUUGAGCCUUACAUAGCAUAGUGCUAUGUAACACUUCUUAAUAAUUGGCUACUCUUAGAUAUUAUUGUCAUUAUGAAUUGAACAGUAGACUGAAGUUUUCUUUUGGUUGUAGGUAUUCUAGAACUGUGUUUUCCAAACCAAAUGAUACUACCUACUAAUCACCAAAUCAAAUAACUGAGGGAAAAGGCUACACUUAACUUAUUUUGGUGAGGAUUAUCCUAGAAGGGACUUCGAAAAUCAUAAAAUAUGCCUGCUUUGGAACUCUUUAAGUAAUAGUAGCUAAAUCACAUUGUGGUAGUGCUAUUAGUCUUAUAUUGAGAAUAGAAAUAUGCACAGCUUUUAGAAACAGGCAAUCCAUAGCCAUGGCUUAAUAGCUUCCAUUCUAAACCAAGCAGAACCAGGCUUUUACUAAAACUUAAAUUGGGAUUUUUUUUUUCCUUUCAAGAAUUUCAAACAUUUAGAUUCUAUUUCAAAUACAAAAUGGAGGAGUCAUUCCAAUGAAGAUAUCUGCUGGUGGCGUGUGAAUUCAGAACAGCAUUCUGAUGGACAGUGUUUUUCUUUUGAAUGGUUUUCCUGAAGAGUGGCUAAAGCUCUUACGUAUGUGAGCACCUUGUGCUAUGGGAGAAGUGGAGGAAGGCCAUUGGUGGCAAUGUCUCCUAUCUUCUGCUACAAAAUGUUAAAAAAUAUGGAUCCAAACCGGGCACCGUGGCUGGAGUUACCCCUGUAAUCCCAGCAACUCGGGAGGCUGAGGCAGGAGGAUAGUGAGUUCAAAACCAGCCUCAGUAGAAGUGAGGUGCUAAGCAACCCAGUGAGACCUUGUCUAUAAAUACCUGUCUCUAAAUAAAAGUACUAAAUUGGGCUGGAAAUGUGGCUCAGUGGUUAAGUGCCUCUGAGUUCAGUCCCUGGUACAAAAAAAAAAAAAAAAUCUGAAUCCAAAUAUGUGUACCCUACUUAUAUAUAACUGCAUCUGCCCUUUUCAUUGGAAUUUGAUUUAGUGAUUCACAGAGGUCCUUUGAUCAUCCCUCCCAGGGGUCUUACCUGUACUCUUAAGUCAUUUAUUUAAUUAUUCCUACCAGCCACAUGCACCUAUUGCUCCUAUUAACUAUUGCUACAUUACAAACUACCUUGAAACUAAGUGGCUUAAGGGAAUAAUUAUCUUAUUUUUCCAUGAUUAUGUGGGUCAGGAAUUAAGCCACAAUUUGGUGAGGCAAUUCUUGGUUAGGGUCUUUCAUUGGUAUUGAACUAGUCUGGUCUAGAGGGUCAAGAGGUGCCCUUCAGAAAGCCUGUCAGCUCCGGCUCAACUGGGAAUUCUUUCUCCAUGUAGCAUCCUGUUCCUCAGGGGGUCUCUACAGCAGCAGGGUAGAUGGACUUUUUAAUUCAGCCCUGAUAAAAUCCCAAGAGACUAUUUCAAGAGAACAAGGUAGAAGCUAUAAGGCUUCUUUUGACUUAACCUCUGAAAUCCUGCAGGAUCAUUUCUACCCCAUUCUAUUGGUAAGAAUUGAGUCACAGGCCUGGCCUAGAUUGAAGGAGAGGGUGGAUGAAUACAAGAGAAGUAAGAAUGCUGCAGGCAGGGUUGAUGGGAGGGCUAUCUUUAGAGAUUAGUCUGAGAAGCGUCUAGAUAAAAACCACUCUUGAAAUUGGACAUAAUUCCAAUGAUGCUGUUGUCACCCUUAUAAAUUGGCAUUGUGAAAACUGCCUCGUUAGUCUCCCCUUUACCAAUCUCUGUUGAUGUCAACAGCUUGUAUUAGUUAUUCUGUGGAGUUGUCUAUGUUAGAAGUUGAUGGACCUGAGUUCAUUUCAAGACCUUGAUUAUCACGUAUCAAUUGAUAGAAAGUCUAAAUUGGCAACACGGAGGCUCUGCUUACAGGCUGCACCCCGACUCCCAUAAAGCUCUAGCUGGAAUACAUAGCUUGUCCAGUUUCAUUACUGUAUAGAUUAGUCUGACUCAUACUGAAUAAUUAACACCCAUGCAGCUUUAUAAGUUACUGUAAUUUAGACUUUAAUAAUUAUCAUUCAGGAUCUGAUGUCCGAUGCUGUUUAAUAUCGAAAGAAAUUUUUCCCCAUGUUCCUGCUUCAGUCCUUCUCCUUAUAGUCUAAUCUAUUGUCAAUCCUUCAAAACUCUAAGACCCAUCGUGACACUUCUCUGAUUGGAGCCCUCAAUGGUCGCUAUUAGGAAAAUGCAGGGUUUUUAUGAUGAUUCAUGAGGCCCUAUACGACUUACCUCUUCUUUCUCUCUCCUCUUACAUUCAUUCAGCAUAUAUUUAUUAAGUGCUUACUGUAUGCUAAAAGAAAAUAUGGGAGCAAACAAAACAGAAAAAAUAAUUGUUCUCUGGAGUAUCCCCUAUGUAUUGUUCACUAUUCUCCAUUUGUGCUGGUCUUCCUGUUGUUGGUGGAACAUCUCAAGCAUGUUUUCAUUACAGGGUCUUUGCAUUUUCUGUUUUCUCUGCUUGAUCUCUUAAUUCAUUUAGUUCCUUAUGUUCAAAGAUCACUUCCACAAAAUCUAUUUCUUGACCACUCUAUAUAAUGUAGAAGUCACCCCCAUACUGCAGUCCCUACUCCCUUUUAUCUUACCAAUAUUUAUUACCAUAUGACAAACUUAUAUCAAAUUGCUUAUUUGUUCUUUAUCUCUUUCAACUCAAAUGGAAUAACUGAGGACAGGAUCUAUCUAUGCUUUUUAAUAUUAUAAUGUGUUCCCAAAGCACAGUAGGCUUUCAAUAAGGGCUUGUUGAAUGAGUUUUGGAUCCAGUAAUACAAAUUUGUUAACAAAAAGCCAGACAGCCCCUCAGAUAUGAUAAGCCCCCCCAGUUAUAUGUUUUUUUUUUUUUUUUAAAAUCUGAACUGUUCAACUGUCCAGACUAGAUUUCAUUUGGUAUGUUUCUUCUCCCAAGGUUGAAUACAUUAUAAUCUAUAUUUAUCUACAGUAGCCUAAGGGGAGAGGGAGUAGGAGCCCCACUCUGUGGUCCUAUUGAAGCAAUUAAAGUCCUCCCUUGGACUUUACUUAGAGAAAAAAUGUAUGGAAGAGGAAGAGGAAUCUUGAGUCAUCUUAAGAUUUGUCAUAUUUUGUAUUCAUGCAUUACUCUCCUAAUUUAUUCUGUUAGGCAAUGAAGCAGCAAAUGUUGGUUUACUUUAAUUAAAAGACCUACUCAAAUUAAACGAACAUCAUUUAAAGUUACAUUAAAGACACCAUCAUAUAGUAAUUGCAACUAUACAAACAUAAUGGAGAACUGGGCAGCAAUUUUUUAAAUUUGCCAUUGAUAAUGCCCAGAUUGAUCAACUUAGGCACAAAACCCCACUUAUUUGUCACCCAUAAAUUCAGACAAUGCCUUGCUAUGAUGCCUUGCUUCUGUAGACAGAUUAAUUUCAAUCUUUUUCACCUUCCACUUUCAAGUUACAUAGGAUUUUGAGUUAUUUAAAAAACAUUAACUCCAAAAAGAAAAAAAAAAAAACUUAAUGGUGCUGAGUUAUUCCAGUAUAUCUAAAACAAUAUAGGAAAAAUUAUAAUCAUUAACCACAAAGGAUAUUAAUGUGAUUAAUAAUUUAAUGGAAAGAUCAGCAAGCUAAGGCUGCAGGACUCACCCUGUGAGUUGUUUAUUUUAUUUUUAGAUGUUGAUGGACCUUUAUUUUAUUUAUUUAUUUAUAUGUGAUGCUGAGACUUGAACAUGGUAGGCAAGCGCUCUAACACUGAGCCACAACUUCAGCCACAAGUUGUUUAUUAAAACUAAGAGCUAGGAAUGGCUUUUACAUUUUUAAAUAGUCAAGAAAAAUAAAGAAUAUUUUAUAACAUGAGAAUGUUAUCUGAAGUUCAACUGUCAGCAUCUGUAAGUAAAGUUUGAUUAGCACACAGCCAUACUAUUACUUAGAGUUCAUCUAUAUUGGUGGCUUCUUUCACUCUAAAACAGAGGUGAAGAGUGGCCAGAGAAAUUUGGUGGUCCAUAAAGGCUGAAGAGAAAAGUUCUAUCUUUUUGGAAAAAGUUCUCUGACCCUGAUUUAAUGCAUUGUUCUCCCAAUUUUUUCAGGAGAUCAUGUGCAUUAUUAAUUGAGGAAUAAAAAUGAAGUGCAGAUUUUUUUUCCUCCAGGACUUUUACUCUGGACUCUAGAACAGUUUCAGGGCUCAGACUCACCUGGAGGGGAGCAGGAGGCCUCACCAGGCUUAGGACACACUGACUCAUGCAUGUGGAGAGCUUCACUUUGUCCUAGUCAGUCCACUAGGGUAUUAAUUUCUUGUGCAUCGCAUCUCAUUCACAGUGUGCACAGUUUUUCUCAGGAUCCAUUCUGUUGCCAUUCUUGCGAUAUUUUUAGUUCCACUUUUAUGUUAAUAUGGUGCUUCAAAUAAGCUAAUAUAAUUUAAAGAGACAAAAAUCCACAAAGUAAUUGUACAGAUUAAACAACUAGCCACGUAGAACAGAUUUCAGUAUUCAUAAGCAAAAUUGUUACUAGUUUCCCAUUAAUUUAAAUCUGAAGGGAAAUGGGUGCUCAGUCAUGAAUUAUUCUGGGGGAAAAUAAGGGGUUGGGCUUGUGUGUGGAAUAAGACAGGGGACCUUGAAUUCCAGUGCAUUGCACAGAAACAGCAAUGUUAAUCUGUAUGUUUGACAUCUGUCACUCUGUGUCAAGUCUCAGUAAGGAUUUUGACCCAAAUCCUCUAAAACCAGUUAGAUAUGCUCCUAGCUAACUGAGUGACCCUCACUCAAUCUUUGCUUUCUCUUCUUGGUUCUUUUUAAUAUUGUUGUCACUUAUUUAAUAUGAAAAUGUUUUUACUUUAUAAAUGUCAUUGUUAUUUUCUUCAGGGAUUAAUUAUCCAAAGUUUAAAUUUAAAAUACUUUCUUAUAGCUCACAUGAACAGUAAAUAUAUGUUAAAUAACUAAACAUGACUUGUAUGACAUUUGAAGUAAGGGGAGAAAGUGGAAUAUUUUUGCAAUCUCAUUCUAAAUUUGAUCUGGAAGAAUAGUCAUUUCAGUUUUAUGGAUUCGUUUUAUUUUUAGUUUUUCAUAGAUUUAGUUUUUUAGAUUUAGAUUUUCAUACAUUUAGUUUUUUUAGGCAAGCCUUUUUCUGAUUAAUUUUUUGGGGGGAGAUACUAGAAAUUUAACCUAGGGAUACUUUACCACGGAGUAACCUCCCUCGCCCUUUAAAAAAUAUUUUCGAGACAGGGUCUUACUUAUUUGCUUAGGGCUUUGCUAAAUUUCCCAGGCCACCCUUGAACUUGUGAUCCUUCUGUCUCAGCCGCCAGGUUGCUGGGAUUACAAGCGUGUGCUACAGUGCCUGGCUUCUUAAUGAAAUUUUUGUUGAGAAAAUUGUAAAUUCAUGUGUGGUUUUAAGAAAUAAUAGGGUGAUCUCAUAUACCCUUUAGCUAGUUUCUCCAGUGAAAAUAUUUUGUAAAACUAUCGCACAAUAUCACAACUAAAAUAUUCACAUUAAUACAUUAAUACAGGCUAUCUAUCUUUUUCUUGUUUCCCCAACUGUACUUGUAAUCCUGUGUGUGUGUGUAUGUGUGUGUGUGUGUGCAUAGUCCUAUACAAUUUUACACAUGUAUAAAAUUAUUCCUGCUCUAUUUUAUUUUUAAGAAAUUAAUAUUGGACAGGCAUAUCUUUUUUAUUUUGUACUCUCAAUUCUCAAUGUUAAAUUUGAAGGGAGUUUCUUGUAAAAAGCAUAUCCUUUUGUAUUUCACAAUCCCUGUUUCUUGACUGGUACAUUUGAAUCACUUUUAUAUUUUGGGUAAUUACUGAUCUUUUACUGAUUAAAUGUGUCAUUGUGUUUAUUUUCUGCUUUGUUUCUUCUGGUUCUCAUUCCCAUGUUCUCUUUUCCUGCCUUGCUGUGGGUUGGUUGAACAUUCUCAGAGCUCUGUUAGGUUUAUUUGCAGUGUUUUGGGGUGUGCCUAUAUAGUUUCCACUGUGGUUUCUCUAGGUUUUACCUUCUGCCCUCGUGACUUAUUACCGUCUACUCGUGACAACAUUUUGCUACUUGGAGAGAAGCAUGGAACCUCACUUAGUUUCCCUUUUACCUUCUUCACUUCUAAAAUUAUCAUAUUGAAUAUUAGAUGUUUUAUGAAUUUUGUUUCAAACAUGAAAUAUGACUAAAAAUCACAAGGAGAAUGAUAGAAACAUCACAGAAAUCUGAUGAUAUAAAUGUUGGACCUUUUCUUUUUGUCCCACAGAUUCCUGAGGCUCUAUUCAUUUAUUUUCCGAUUUUCUUUUAGUCCUCAUAUUGUAUGACUUUCAUUUUUUUGUCUACAAAGUCACUGAUUCUAUCUUCUGUCACCUCCUCUCUUACUAUU